Molecule: long non-coding RNA, 1882 nt
Filed under: Homo sapiens (human)
Lineage: Eukaryota; Metazoa; Chordata; Mammalia; Primates; Hominidae
Description: HSALNT0378069
Source: RNAcentral
CUCUGCUGUGCCUUCUUCAGCUUGUUUGCGAGUUCCUGGUUCAUCCUGACCACCCUGAAAGGCCGCCCCUGGGACUUUGCAUAACUCAUUCUGUCUCCUGGCUGAGCUUGGAUUUCAGAUCAGAUCUCUUAGGACAGAGCCCUUGGGAAUUCCCAUGGUGUGAAUGUCCUGGGCCAGCGGGAAUGGCUGCUCGCUCAUCUCUUCCAAGGCUGGAGUGCAGUGGCGUGAUCUCGGCUCACUACAACCUCCACCUCCCAGCCGCCUGCCUUGGCCUCCCAAAGUGCGGAGAUUGCAGCCUCUGCCCGGCCACCACCCCGUCUGGGAAGUGAGGAGCGUCUCUGCCUGGCUGCCCAUCGUCUGGGAUGUGAGGAGCCCCUCUGCCCGGCUGCCCAGUCUGGGAAGUGAGGAGCGCCUCUUCCCGGCCGCCAUCCCGUCUAGGAAGUGAGGCGUGUCUCUGCCCGGCCGCCCAUCGUCUGAGAUGUGGGGAGCACCUCUGCCCCGCUGCCUCGUCUGGGAUGUGAGGAGCGCCUCUACCCGGCCGCCACCCCAUCUGGGAGGUGAGGAGCGUCUCUGCCCGGCCGCCCCGUCUGCGAAGUGAGGAGCCCCUCCGCCCGGCAGCCGCCCCGUCCGGGAGGUGGGGGCCAGCCCCCGCCCCGCCAGCCGCCCUGUCCGGGAGGGAGGUGUGGGGGUCAGCCCCCGCCCGGCCAGCCGCCCCGUCCGGGAGGGAGGUGGGGGGCGCCUCCGCCCGGCCACUGCCCCGUCUGGGAGGUGGGGGGCGCCUCUGCCCGGCCGCCACCCCGUCUGGGAGGUGUACCCAACAGCUCAUUGAGAACGGGCCAUGAUGACGAUGGCGGUUUUGUCGAAUAGAAAAGGGGGAAAUGUGGGGAAAAGAAAGAGAGAUCAGAUUGUUACUGUGUCUGUGUAGAAAGAAGUAGACAUGGGAGACUCCAUUUUGUUCUGUACUAAGAAAAAUUCUUCUGCCUUGGGAUGCUGUUAAUCUAUAACCCUACCCCCAACCCUGUGCUCUCUGAAACCUGUGCUGUGUCCACUCAGGGUUAAAUGGAUUAAGGGCGGUGCAAGAUGUGCUUUGUUAAACAGAUGCUUGAAGGCAGCAGGCUCGUUAAGAGUCAUCACCACUCCCUAAUCUCAAGUACCCAGGGACACAAACACUGCGGAAGGCCGGGAGGCCGCAGGGUCCUCUGUCUAGGAAAACCAGAGACCCUUGUUCACAUGUUUAUCUGCUGACCUUCCCUCCACUAUUGUCCUAUGACCCUGCCAAAUCCCCCUCUCCGAGAAACACCCAAGAAUGAUCAAUAAAUACUAAAAAAAAUAAAAUAAAAUAAAAAUUAAAAAAAAUAAAAAUAAAAAUACAAAAAAUUAGCUGGGCAUGGUGGCGCGUGCCUGUAAUCCCAGCUAUUCAGGAGGCUGAGACAGGAGAAGAAUCGCUUGAAAGCGGGAGGCAGAGGUUGCAGUGAGCCAACAUCUCACCACUGCACUCCAGCCUGGGCAACAAGAGCAAAACUCCAUCUCAAAACAAACAACAACAACAACAACAAAAAACAGGCUGGGCGAGGUGGCUCAUGCCUGUAAUCCCAGCACUUUGGGAGGCUGAGGUGGGUGGAUUACGUGAGGUCAGAAGUUCGAGACCAGCCUGACCAACAUGGAGAAACAGUGUCUCUACUAAAAAUACAAAAAUUAGCCAGGCGUAGUGGUGGACGCCUGUAGUCCCAGCUACUCGGGAGGCUGAGGCAGGAGAAUUGCUUGAACCCGGGAGGCGGAGGUUGCAGUGAGCCGAGAUCAUGCCACUGCACUUUAGCCUGGGCAACAAAAGCGAAACUCUGUCUCAAAAAAAAUAAAAAUAAAAAUAAAACCAGAAAGAGGC